Molecule: ribosomal RNA, 102 nt
Filed under: Steinernema hermaphroditum
Lineage: Eukaryota; Metazoa; Nematoda; Chromadorea; Rhabditida; Steinernematidae
Description: partial 18S ribosomal RNA
Rfam family: Eukaryotic small subunit ribosomal RNA
Source: RNAcentral
UUCGGACGUGAAUUGAGGCGAGAACCGCGUUAAUCGAAACGGCUUGAACCGGGCAAAAGUCGUAACAAGGUUUCCGUAGGUGAACCUGCGGAAGGAUCAUUA